GCGCGCGCGCGCACGUUCCAACGGUCGACGCGGGAGCGGGAGCCCUGGCCCCGCCCCGCCGUGCGCUGGCGUCGUCCCCUCCGCCUCACCCGGGAGCACGGCAGCAGUUGUAGCUUUGGGACGAUCUCUCCUUCCAGAAAGUACUAUGAUGAACAAAGCAAAGAAAAUCAGAAGAGGUUUCACAGCCAGACUGCAACUCAAGUUACUAAGGCCAAUUACGGAACCUGUACUAAAGCUCCAGGAUCUUCUAUGAUGGGACCAUCCUGAUUCAUGUAAUUAAGUGAUUCAACAAAUAAACUGAUUGAACCAACA
Long non-coding RNA from Pristis pectinata (smalltooth sawfish), 312 nucleotides. RefSeq lists it as uncharacterized. The record is from RefSeq and is a predicted model, not a curated record. NCBI's taxonomy places the organism in Eukaryota, Metazoa, Chordata, Chondrichthyes, Rhinopristiformes, Pristidae. The transcript has 2 exons.